ACGGGCUCUUCGGAGCUAGUGGCGGACGGGUGAGUAACGCGUGAGAAUCUGGCUUCAGGUUCGGGACAACAGUUGGAAACGGCUGCUAAUACCGGAUGUGCCUUAUGGUGAAAGAUUUAUCACCUGAAGAUGAGCUCGCGUCUGAUUAGCUAGUAGGUGUGGUAAGAGCGCACCUAGGCGACGAUCAGUAGCUGGUCUGAGAGGAUGAUCAGCCACACUGGGACUGAGACACGGCCCAGACUCCUACGGGAGGCAGCAGUGGGGAAUUUUCCGCAAUGGGCGAAAGCCUGACGGAGCAAUACCGCGUGAGGGAGGAAGGCUCUUGGGUUGUAAACCUCUUUUCUCAGGGAAGAAUGAUGACGGUACCUGAGGAAUAAGCAUCGGCUAACUCCGUGCCAGCAGCCGCGGUAAUACGGAGGAUGCAAGCGUUAUCCGGAAUGAUUGGGCGUAAAGCGUCCGCAGGUGGCAAUGUAAGUCUGCUGUCAAAGCGUCUGGCUCAACCAGAUAAAGGCAGUGGAAACUACAUAGCUAGAGUAAGGUAGGGGUAGAGGGAAUUCCUGGUGUAGCGGUGAAAUGCGUAGAGAUCAGGAAGAACA
RNAcentral lists this ribosomal RNA (596 nucleotides) under uncultured cyanobacterium. RNAcentral describes it as "bacterial SSU rRNA". It matches the Rfam family "Bacterial small subunit ribosomal RNA", at positions 66 to 708 of the family's 1533-position model. The record is from RNAcentral. Lineage: Bacteria; Bacillati; Cyanobacteriota.